AUUCAAUCAAAUUUCAUGGGUUUAACAGCAACAUUUUCAUCAUUCACAAAUUUCAAUCAAAUUUCAUGGGUUUAACAACAAUAUCUUCAUCGUUCACACAAUUCAAUCAAAUUUCAUGGGUUUAACAUCAACAUUUUCAUCAUUCCCACAAUUCAAUCAAAUUGAAUGGGUUUAACAGCAACAUUUACUUCAUUUACACAAUUAAAUAAAUUUUAUGGCUUUAACAACAACAUUUUCAUCAAUCCCACAAUUUUAUCAAAUUUCAUGAGUUUAGCAACAACAUAUUCAUUAUUCACACAAUUCAAUAAAAUUUCAUCGUUUUAAUAGCAAUAUUUUCAUCAUUCACACAAUUCAAUCAAAUUUCUUGGGUUUAAAAACAACAAUUUCAUCAUUUUCACAAUUCAAUCAACUUUCAUGGGUUUAACAACAACAUUUUCAUCAUUGACACAAUUCAAUCAAAUUUCACAGGUUUAGUAGCAACAUUUUCAUAAUUUACACGAUUCAAUCAAAUUACAUGGGUUUAACAACAACAUUUUCAUCAUUCCCACCAUUCAAUAAAAUUUCAUGGGUUCAACAGCAAAAUUUUCAUCAUUCCCACAACUCAAUGGAAUUUCAUGGGUUUAACAACAACAUUUUCAUCAUUCCCAAACUUUUAUCAAAUUUCAUGGGUUUAACAACAACAUUUUCAUCAUUCCCACAAAUCAAUCAAUUUUCACGGGUUUAAUAGCAGCGUUUUCAUCAUUCACUCAAUUCAUUCAAAUUUUAAUGGUUUUAAGAGCAACAAUUUCAUCAUUCCCACAAUUCAAUCAAUUUUC
RNAcentral lists this long non-coding RNA (815 nucleotides) under Lathyrus oleraceus (garden pea). Its description in RNAcentral is "Pisum sativum (pea) long non-coding RNA (PSAT_LNC041243)". The record is from RNAcentral. Lineage: Eukaryota; Viridiplantae; Streptophyta; Magnoliopsida; Fabales; Fabaceae.